RNAcentral lists this long non-coding RNA (1093 nucleotides) under Malus domestica (apple). Its description in RNAcentral is "long non-coding RNA (MDOM_LNC012770)". Lineage: Eukaryota; Viridiplantae; Streptophyta; Magnoliopsida; Rosales; Rosaceae. The record is from RNAcentral.
UCGAUCUUGUAUUGCAAGUGUGACAUGUGUGGAGAAGAACCCCUUAAGCUAUUCCAUCAUCCAUAUUUUUCAUUGCAUUCAUAUUUACAUUUUGCCCUUAAUUAUAAUCUGUCCAUUUAAUUUAAUCUCGUCAAAAACAACUCAAUUUCCCCCCCCAUAUUUUGUUAAAGUCUUAGUCGUUCAAAUCUAUCUUAUUUUAUGCUUUUAAGUAUUUGGAGUCUUUUGAACUUGUUUUGAGUCUUUUGGUUUGUCUUAGUGUUUUAAAAGUUAGUUUUAUUUAUUUGAGUCAAGUGUUUAGCACCCCUAGUUAAUCCCCGGUUAGAACGAUCCCUACUUACAUCAUUACUACAAUUGUCACAAAUAGGGUUUAAUUUGUGUGUCAAGUAAUUUUCGCAUCACCAACCACAUCACCAAUCUCAGCUCUGUCGAUUCCAAUCCUUCAGAAACCGAUAUCGAACAGAUGCGAUGCUCGGAAUUAAAUUAGGCUCCUCAACCCUCCGUCCGCCGCCGACCCAAUCCUCCUCUGCCAACCGCCGCAAUCAGAAUCGAAUUUCACAAAUCUCGGUGAAAUUAAAGAAAGCCCUCUCUCUGCGCUUAUCAAUGCAAAGCGUUCGAAUUUCAGGAAGAGUCUGAGAGAAUCCGAAAACCUUGGUUGAAAACUCGAUCGGACCGGAUGAUUUGAUUCGCCGAUUGAUUGGGUUGCACGAACUCCAAGAAAGCUUCUGACACAUCGAAAUCGAGAAAAUCAGAUUCCGUCGGAGAGAAUUCCCCGUGAAAUUGUGAAAGUGGCAGCGAUCUACAGGCCCUAGGGUGAGUUUUGUAGGCUGAUGAUCAUGACGAACCGCCGGACUGCUAGGGUUUGCUUUUGGGAAAUUUCAUAGCGCCACAGAGACCACGAGAGACAGACAAGAGAGAGCCAAAGUAUGUGAGAGAGGGGAUCUCAGCCUAGGAAUUGGCCUCUGUGGGCCGAGAAUAGCUGGGAGAAGAAGACAAGUCGAAGCCUGGGCCUGGAUUUGUGGCUGGGCUCAUUGGUUUUGGAGAGAUGGGUUGUCAAGUUAAGAGAACAACUUGGCCUUUUCAUGGGAUCCGAUGG